Molecule: ribosomal RNA, 497 nt
Filed under: uncultured bacterium
Lineage: Bacteria
Description: partial 16S ribosomal RNA
Rfam family: Bacterial small subunit ribosomal RNA
Source: RNAcentral
GACGAACGCUGGCGGCGUGCCUAAUACAUGCAAGUUGAGCGCUGAAGGUUGGUACUUGUACCAACUGGAUGAGCAGCGAACGGGUGAGUAACGCGUGGGGAAUCUACCUUUGAGCGGGGGACAACAUUUGGAAACGAAUGCUAAUACCGCAUAAAAACUUUAAACACAAGUUUUAAGUUUGAAAGAUGCAAUUGCAUCACUCAAAGAUGAUCCCGCGUUGUAUUAGCUAGUUGGUGAGGUAAAGGCUCACCAAGGCGAUGAUACAUAGCCGACCUGAGAGGGUGAUCGGCCACAUUGGGACUGGGACACGGCCCAAACUCCUACGGGAGGCAGCAGUAGGGAAUCUUCGGCAAUGGACGAAAGUCUGACCGAGCAACGCCGCGUGAGUGAAGAAGGUUUUCGGAUCGUAAAACUCUGUUGGUAGAGAAGAACGUUGGUGAGAGUGGAAAGCUCAUCAAGUGACGGUAACUACCCAGAAAGGGACGGCUAACUACGUG